RNAcentral lists this ribosomal RNA (497 nucleotides) under uncultured bacterium. Its description in RNAcentral is "partial 16S ribosomal RNA". It matches the Rfam family "Bacterial small subunit ribosomal RNA", at positions 28 to 507 of the family's 1533-position model. The record is from RNAcentral.
GAUGAACGCUGGCGGCGUGCCUAAUACAUGCAAGUCGAGCGAACAGAUAAGGAGCUUGCUCCUUUGACGUUAGCGGCGGACGGGUGAGUAACACGUGGGUAACCUACCUAUAAGACUGGAAUAACUCCGGGAAACCGGGGCUAAUGCAGGAUAACAUGUUGAACCGCAUGGUUCUACAGUGAAAGGCGGCUUUGCUGUCACUUAUAGAUGGACCCGCGCCGUAUUAGCUAGUUGGUGAGGUAACGGCUCACCAAGACAACGAUACGUAGCCGACCUGAGAGGGUGAUCGGCCACACUGGAACUGAGACACGGUCCAGACUCCUACGGGAGGCAGCAGUAGGGAAUCUUCCGCAAAGGGCGAAAGCCUGACGGAGCAACGCCGCGUGAGUGAUGAAGGUCUUCGGAUCGUAAAACUCUGUUAUUAGGGAAGAACAAAUGCGUAAGUAACUGUGCGCGUCUUGACGGUACCUAAUCAGAAAGCCACGGCUAACUACGUG